CAGCAGCCACGGGAAUACGUAGGGUGCGAGCGUUAAUCGGAAUUACUGGGCGUAAAGCGUGCGCAGGCGGUUGUGCAAGACAGAUGUGAAAUCCCCGAGCUUAACUUGGGAACUGCAUUUGUGACUGCACGGCUAGAGUGUGUCAGAGGGGGGUAGAAUUCCACGUGUAGCAGUGAAAUGCGUAGAUAUGUGGAGGAAUACCGAUGGCGAAGGCAGCCCCCUGGGAUAACACUGACGCUCAUGCACGAAAGCGUGGGGAGCAAACAGGAUUAGAUACCCCGGUAGUCCCUGUCUCUUAUAC
Molecule: ribosomal RNA, 301 nt
Filed under: uncultured bacterium
Lineage: Bacteria
Description: partial 16S ribosomal RNA
Rfam family: Bacterial small subunit ribosomal RNA
Source: RNAcentral